ACCAGCACUAGUACCUUUAGAAACUAAUCCACAGGAUGCUUACAAGUAGGCUUGGCUUUAAAAAGGAUCUGAAUCCAUACUAAGCAAGCUACAGGGGGGAUGAGUUUAGCCCUCAUUAUUUCACUCUCAAGCAUGAGACAAUUUAGGGGAAGUCAGCCCAGCCUUAGGUGCUUUGACACUUUAGUGAGACUGGGAAGUGCCUGCCCUUCAGCUCCCAGCUAUUUACACAGUCAGCAACUGUUCAGGCUUUUGCUGCCCCAGGCAGCCACUUGCUGAGAGAGGCUGCCCCAGGGCCCAGCACAGCUGCAAGCUGGAAGGGCAGGAGUGGCAGGUGCAGUUACACUAACUACUCUGCAGGCAGAAGCCAAGGCCAGUCAGCUCCCACCCUGCAGGCCACGCUCCAUCAUGCAGAGGAUCCAGAAGGAUCAUCCCUCAGACCACUCUUUCUCAUGCCAUGGGUAGCACACCACAGUUAGUUAGGUAGAGUGAUCUUUUCUGGUGACAUGUCACUAAUCUGUGAGAGAGGAGAAGACAAAGCAGCCCAAUCUGGUCUGGCAGUUUGCAGGCUGCCUCAUUGUCCUGACUCCUGUUCCAGCUGCUGCUGGGUCACUGGCACCUCAAACACCACCAGUCUGCCACCCAGGCAUCCGUCUGCACCCAGCUGGCUAACAAAUAAGGAGCCAGUGACCACGCUCUGAAAGUUGUGUAUUACCCACCAUAAAGGUUGUGUAGAACAAGUGGCCUCUGCUGUACAGUCCUUUGCAUUAGUGCUAGCAUCACAGCCUCCAGGAGAACAUCAGCUCCAACAGCAACAACAAAAACUCACCUUCUCUCAUAGUUAAAACUCAUUAAACUCACUCUGCACAAAGUUCCAGUGCUGAAAAAUGGGAACCCUUGGCACAGUGCUCAUUUCAGCAAUUCCCCAUUUCUCCUCUUAGCAGCAUCUACAGGGCGACAGGGAGCAGUUUCAGCCUUCUGCCUUUGUGAAGAAGCAAGUCUCAAGAAACUUCACAGAGCACUGCACCAGUGAAGAAGCAAGUGCUCAAUGAGCUUCACAGGGCACAGCACUGCACCAGUGAAGGAGCAAGUGCUCAACGAGCUUCACAGGGCACAGCAC
Pogoniulus pusillus (Red-fronted tinkerbird) is the source of this 1117-nucleotide long non-coding RNA. RefSeq lists it as uncharacterized. Lineage: Eukaryota; Metazoa; Chordata; Aves; Piciformes; Lybiidae. The transcript is spliced from 2 exons. The record is from RefSeq and is a predicted model, not a curated record.